Molecule: long non-coding RNA, 502 nt
Organism: Lynx canadensis (Canada lynx)
Lineage: Eukaryota; Metazoa; Chordata; Mammalia; Carnivora; Felidae
Exons: 3
Source: RefSeq, a predicted model, not a curated record
UGCCCACGCCCAGUGCCGCUCUUUCUAGAUCUUCGCGCCCACGCCCAAACAAGAUACUGGAAAGAAAAGCCGGAAAACUUGGUAUAAAAGCGUUUGACCCCUUUUCUCCUCCACGUGAAAGGCAAAAUUCUCGCAACGACCUACCAGGCGCUACCCGACCUACCCUCCGCCCAUCCCUGUCCGGGCCUGCAGCCUGGAAACCUGCCUCCGGAGACGUCCCCAUGGGGAGAGGAAAUCUUUCCAAGAGUAUCUCACAGACCCAAUCAAGAAAGCUGAAUACACGAGCCAGCCGUCGUGCACAGAAAUGUCGGUGAGACUACUGAAUGGUGACCGGCCAUGUGGAGGGAGAAGCCACUUGGAGAACCAGGAUGCCCCAGCCAUCAGCUAGGAUGGAGAUCUUAGGACACGUGAGAAGGCCAUGUUGGAUUCUCCAGCCCCACCCAACUAAUACCACACAGGGCAUCCACACUGAGCCCUGCCCAAAUCCUUUUUUUUCCUCCCA